This is a small nucleolar RNA of Drosophila hydei, 143 nucleotides long. RefSeq annotates it as small nucleolar RNA psi18S-1377. The record is from RefSeq and is a predicted model, not a curated record. Lineage: Eukaryota; Metazoa; Arthropoda; Insecta; Diptera; Drosophilidae. The transcript has a single exon.
CCGUUCUUGUGUUAUUUGCUGAAUUUAAAUCGUCGUUCAGUGAUUGUCAAACAGAACGCACAACGAACUUUCAAACCGGCUUAUCCACGUUGUUGAGCCUAUCUACUCAAAGGCUUCUACAUUACUAAUCACUGGUUACAGCA